AUUGGAGCAUGACGCUACCCUGCAUUUUCUUCUUACGCUCCUUUGAUCCCAUUUGCCGAAUUCUUCCACUCAAAGUCGGGGGAAAAGAGAAGGAAACUUGAGGAUCUACACUGUCCAGCUUUCUCUGAUGAAAUUUCCAGAAGAUUGCGGAUUGGUAGCACGAGGUCUUCUGCUGAGGAUGAGAGUUGGUUAUUGCCAUCGAAUUGGAGCUGUCAUGUAAGCAGUUCUGGUCGAAAUUUUCGAGCCACGAUGGAUAAAACAAAGUCAAAUACAUUCAAGGGAUUCAGAACAUUUUUGGUUGUGGGUUUCAUUGCUUUCCCCAUUUUAGUCAUAGUUACUCUGGUAAACCAAAACUCAAUACCUCAUCUCGUUGAGAAAUCUUCGAAAACUAAUGUGCUGGGUGAAAGAGACCAGAAUGUUUCUACUAAUGUCUGGAAGGAAGCUGAAAAUGUUAGUUUUACUAGAACCCCUCAAGCCAUGGGAGCAAAAGUCCAGAAUGUUACAGGACCAGAGGUAGUCAAGGACAAUAUUUUCGAAGAAAAGGCUUACGAUGGUUUACUGGCCUCAGAAGAAAGCAUUCCCAAAAAGACAACCUCUGAU
Long non-coding RNA from Neltuma alba, 600 nucleotides. RefSeq lists it as uncharacterized. The transcript is spliced from 3 exons. The record is from RefSeq and is a predicted model, not a curated record. Lineage: Eukaryota; Viridiplantae; Streptophyta; Magnoliopsida; Fabales; Fabaceae.